This 559-nucleotide ribosomal RNA is filed under the name Didymella negriana. RNAcentral's name for it is "eukaryotic LSU rRNA". It matches the Rfam family "Eukaryotic large subunit ribosomal RNA", at positions 88 to 663 of the family's 3401-position model. Lineage: Eukaryota; Fungi; Ascomycota; Dothideomycetes; Pleosporales; Didymellaceae. The record is from RNAcentral.
GGCGAGUGAGCGGNAACAGCUCAAAUUUGAAAUCUGGCGUCUUUGGCGUCCGAGUUGUAAUUUGCAGAGGGCGCUUUGAAAUUGGCAGCGGUCCAAGUUCCUUGGAACAGGACGUCACAGAGGGUGAGAAUCCCGUACGUGGUCGCUAGCCUUUACCGUGUAAAGCCCCUUCGACGAGUCGAGUUGUUUGGAAAUGCAGCUCUAAAUGGGAGGUAAAUUUCUUCUAAAGCUAAAUACUGGCCAGAGACCGAUAGCGCACAAGUAGAGUGAUCGAAAGAUGAAAAGCACUUUGAAAAGAGAGUUAAAAAGCACGUGAAAUUGUUGAAAGGGAAGCGCUUGCAGCCAGACUUGCCUGUAGUUGCUCAUCCGGGUUUCUACCCGGUGCACUCUUCUAUAGGCAGGCCACCAUCAGUUUGGGCGGUUGGAUAAAGGUCUCUGUCAUGUACCUCUCUUCGGGGAGAACUUAUANGGGAGACGACAUGCAACCAGCCUGGACUGAGGUCCGCGCAUCUGCUAGGAUGCUGGCGUAAUGGCUGUAAGCGGCCCGUCUUGAAACACG